CUGGUUCACAUCAUAAUGGUUCUUUUGCCAACAGGAGCUGGUAAUCAGGAUGGCAGUGAGGCAGGCACUUGCUUGCAGAAGAACAGGCCUAGUUUUUUAAGAAGCCACAAAAGUGUCUUUGGAUGAUUAGGAUCUAAGGGGCCAACAGCUUUGCAAUAACAGCAUAAAUAUUGUGGGCUGGAUGGACAGGCACCAAAUGGGGACAUUCCAUCCUGCUGUGUGAUGAGAAAGCUGCCACUUUUGAGGCCUUCCAAAACAAAUCAACACUCCAUAUGCCAGAAGGAAAAGCCCAGGAAAGACCUAUUCCAACUGGAGAUGGUGAAUGUCAUUUCUUCAAGAAGCUGAGAUCCAGCUGGUACUGCCAGGUGGAGAGAAUACGAAGGGAGAAUGAAACAAAACUGCUCCGCUUAGGGAACUUGGAAAGGAAAUUGAAAAGGCAAGGCACAGGCUGGAAGAAAAUAUUUGAAAAAGAUUUAUGUGAACUUCUUUCUGGAUUAUACAAAAUAUUUUUAGAUAUUCUUACAACUCUAAAAUAAGAUAACUCCUUAAAAAUCUAAAUUCUACCAAAGGAGAGAUAAAGAUGACGAAUACAUUCAAAGAUGCUGAAAAUCACUUAUUUAUUAUUAGGAAGUUACAAGCUAAAGCAUAAUGAGAUACCACUACAACCUACUAAACUGACUAAAAUUAAUCAGACUAACCAGGUGUUGGCAAGAAACAGGGACACUGAGACUCUCACACUGCUGGAAGGAAUGUAAAAUGCUAAAACUUCUUUGGAAAUGAGUUCAGUAACUUUUUAAACAGUUGAAAAUAGACCUAUCAUGCAAACCAGCAAUCCCACUUCCAGGUAUUUAUACAAGGAAAAUGACAACAUAUGCCCACAUAAAGACUUGUGCACAAAUGACCGUAGCAGCUUUGUGAUAAUUGCUAAAAACUAGAAACUUGUCAAGUGUCCAACAGUUGACAUGCAGGCUGGACAUACAGUGGGCCUCGAUUGCUUAGAAGCCAAACUGAACUCACCAAGAAAAGAAGACAGGAGAAACUUCUCAAGAGGAAUAUCUCCAAAUUGCAGGAUCGAAUACCAUAAGAGGAAUUCUGGACUGAAGAGUUAUGAAGUCAUUUCAGACACUUCCAGACAAUUUGUGUUAAUUAAAUUCUCACUGGUUGAGUUCCAUUCUACACUGGAAGAGCAUUUUUCCUGGAAAGGCUCCUCAAAAUGGACACCAUCAAGAGUCACCUCCUCAGUGAAGCCUUCCAUGGUUUCAUACCACCCAUCCCUAUCGGAAUGAAUGUAUCCUUGUUCUCCGUUAUCCCAGUAUUUUGCCUGGGCUUCUGUCACACUACUUUCAAUGUCUAUACCUCAGUUAUCGAAUCGAAAAACAAGAGUCAUCAGUCUCUAAGGUCCUUGCAAGCUUCAAAACUUUAUAUUUUUGUCAAUUACAACUGAAUAAAGCUGAACAACUUAUUAUUUAUGGAUACUUGCUCAAGCACCAUAUAACUCUUUCAGAUAUUUUAAAAGAAUAUGUUUGCAAAAGACUCCAAAUCAAUGUAUUAAAUUGAAAUCCAGUAUCAAAACACCCAUUAAAGUGCUCUUUUGAAAUUGUACAUUUUAUAUCAAUAAAAUUUCAAAAUAUAAAAACCUCUAUUUUACU
Molecule: long non-coding RNA, 1649 nt
Filed under: Homo sapiens (human)
Lineage: Eukaryota; Metazoa; Chordata; Mammalia; Primates; Hominidae
Description: HSALNT0292445
Source: RNAcentral